Molecule: ribosomal RNA, 308 nt
Filed under: uncultured bacterium
Lineage: Bacteria
Description: bacterial SSU rRNA
Rfam family: Bacterial small subunit ribosomal RNA
Source: RNAcentral
ACUCCUACGGGAGGCAGCAGUGGGAAUAUUGCACAAUGGGCGCAAGCCUGAUGCAGCCAUGCCGCGUGUAUGAAGAAGGCCUUCGGGUUGUAAAGUACUUUCAGUCAGUGAGGAAGGUGGUAUGUUAAUAGCAUACUCAUUGACUGUUAGCUGCAGAAGAAGCACCGCUAACUCCGUGCCAGCAGCCGCGGUAAUACGGAGGGUGCGAGCGUUAAUCGGAAUUACUGGGCGUAAAGCGCAUGCAGGUGGUUUGUUAAGUCAGAUGUGAAAGCCCGGGGCUCAACCUCGGAAUUGCAUUUGAAACUGGC